UCCCUGGUGGUCCAGUGGUUAGGACUCGGCACUCCCAGUACAGGGGGCUGGGUUCAAACCCCGGACAGGGAA
This 72-nucleotide transfer RNA is filed under the name Ovis aries (sheep). It matches the Rfam family "tRNA". From Rfam's summary of the family: Transfer RNA (tRNA) molecules are approximately 80 nucleotides in length. Their secondary structure includes four short double-helical elements and three loops (D, anti-codon, and T loops). The record is from Rfam by way of RNAcentral. Lineage: Eukaryota; Metazoa; Chordata; Mammalia; Artiodactyla; Bovidae.